Centrocercus urophasianus (Greater sage-grouse) is the source of this 3428-nucleotide long non-coding RNA. RefSeq lists it as uncharacterized. Lineage: Eukaryota; Metazoa; Chordata; Aves; Galliformes; Phasianidae. The record is from RefSeq and is a predicted model, not a curated record. The transcript is spliced from 4 exons.
AAAGGGCUGCGGGCUCGCAGGAGGAGUCUGUGUGAAUGGGGCUGCCCUUGACGAUGGGUGCUGUCUCCCACACGGCUGCCCCGAGGUCGCCGCGGGACAGCGAGAACCGUCCUGCUGUAGCAGGGCAGGUCUUUGUCCCACUUUGCUCGUUUGUCCCGAAAAGGAACAGCGUUGAACAUCCUUACUCGAGGCCUAAUACCAGCAGCUGUCCCAGUGGUGCUUGAACCACUGCUGGAAAGCUGGUAACCAUAUCACUGGGGAUGGCAUUCCCUUGGUGAAACCUGUCUGGUAGGGAGUAGGUGGCCGUCCCUGGCCACGCAGGGUGAGAGCUGUUCAUUCUAAUGAUGCUGCUUAAGAAGGGCCAGCAACAGAGGCUGGUGCUCUCACACACGGGUCAGCUUUGUUAUGCCCAGAGUGGAUACACUCAAUGGAUCCUCUGAAUUCCAGGAAUACGGCCAGACAUUAUUUCCCCUUAGGUGGGAUGUUGCUGGGUACUCUCUCUGCCCACCCUCACUGUGUUGCUGGUUGCAGAAGUUCUCAGAGCACUCUGGUGGCUCUCUCUGUGCCUUGUGCAGGCAGUAAUGACCAAAGGGUGGGCAGGGUCUUGCAGGUUGCGUGCUGCUGUAUCUCACUGCUGCAGUCACACCAACAUGUCCCAUAUGCUUAGCAAACUCCACUUUGAGCUUCUCUCCGUUCUGCUGAGAACCACUCCAAGCCUUUCUGCCCCAAAGCUCCCAUAUCUUUUUCCGAUAUCUUUUAAUCCCCAGCUUGAAUAUACCAAUGGCUACUUCACAGUUACUGAUUUUUGUGCAACUUUUAUCUUUGUACUUUCACAUCUUUUUCUCAUAUUUUCCCCCCUUCUACUUGUCUCUCAGUAGCAAUUAUAUCCCUUCAGUCCCUUUUGUUAGUCUAAAUAGGACAAACAUUUGGAAUUUUCCUCCCAUUGGACAAAUUCUCCUUUCUGUUACUGUUGUGGCCAUCCUUCAUUGCACCGGUUUGGGUUACCCUGAAGGACAGGGGUAAGGGUUUUCCCAGUGUCACUGCUGUGACUCAAGAUUUAAGAUCAAUGGGCCUUUUGUUUCUAAAUCCAAUUCAGAGGGCUUUUAAGAACAUAUCUGAUGCGGACAGUGAGCAUAUCCAAGUUUGGAGUCCAAGCCUGAUAUCCAGCCACAAAACAACAACUCUGCUGAUUCUGAGAGCUUGUACGAACAUUUGUAAUCACAGGAGGGAAUCUAAGAGCCAUUCAAACAACAGAUAAGAUUAGUAACGAAAGUGGCUGAGAUGAGAUUGUUAUUGUGCAAGUCAAAGAAAAGCCCAUCACACACGGAUGAUGUUGCCAAGAAACACACAUCUGAGCGGCAGAGCCACUCUUCUUCCCAUCACUGUCCAAAUUCUCCUCCUUCUUUCCAGCUCUGUUCAGCCCAGUGGAAGUAUCCAUUGGAUUAGGAGGUGAUUAAAUUUUGGUAUGACACCAAACAAAGCUCUUCUCUCAUGCUGCAACGUCAGGUCUCUUCCUGGGUGCAGUCCUUGCCCAGCACUCCCACCAUGGAACAGGCAGCAUGUUCUGGUUUAUGCAGAACUCAAGUACUCCCUGAGCCAUGCUGAGGCUUGCAGCAAGAGAGCCAUCAACAAAGCAUCUGCUACAGGUUUGGAGCUGGAGCAGUCAGAAAGAAAUUACAGCAGUUUGGGGGUGUCUGAAGUUGUGCAAAGGCGUGGAGGAGCUGGAGUGUGCAAAACAAUGGCAAAAGCUUCCUCUGCUGUCCACAUGGAUCCUGCUCAGCACACGCCUUUGGAGAGCAGCUCAGUGUGGCUUGUGUGCUGAGAGCCUUCCUUGCCCCGUGAACAAGCCCCAUCGUGUGCAAUGAACAAGAAACCAGCACACCACAUCUGUAAGUCAUUUAGGAAGAUGGGAAUGAUGAGCUGUGCACACAAUAGAGUUGCUAUUAAGUCUGUCGAUCCUAAUUAAAAAAGUACUUCUCAAUGAAAAUUAUUUAUAAAAAGAAAUUGCAGUGACCCUAAAUCAAAUUAUUUGUGAAUGGUUUUUAGUCUCCCAGAUCAGUUAAAACUCCCAUGUUAGUCACUGGAUGUCAUCCAAACUACAUGCUGAAUGAAUAGCAUGUCUGCCAAAUUCCUUUUUUUUUCACCCUCACCCAGUUUGGCACAGGACAGCCAAAGUCAUUUUUCUAAAUAUCUUUCAGAACAUCAAGCAACUGUAAAAUAACAAUGGAAAAGCUUGGCCACAUCUAACUACAGCCCUCCAGUUGUAACCGCUUCUCUUGGGAAAGGCACUGCAGUUCCUUUGAUGCUGGUUUGGGUGAGCACUUGUGGGGGGGUCUGAGUGCAGCUCCAGGAGUGGAACGGGGCCGUGCGGGCACCUGCUGCAGGGCAAGGAGCACUGAUGGCCUGAGGAUGUGCCAACUGCUUCUGAUCCAAAAGCAGUGCCCAUGAAGAUGGCUCACUCUUCAAAAACUGAAGGAAAGAAAAAAAAAACAACAAAAAACAACAGUGAAUCAUUGGCUGAACAAUGGCAGAACAAGUUCUUGCUUCUUCUGUCUGCAGAGAUAAAGUGCCAGUUCUUUUAGGCACCACAUGAAGUCCCAUCCAAGAGAAUUAAGCUUGGGACUGUUUUCACAAUGCCUUGUUCCAAUUAUGCAGUAUGCUUUCUCUUCUCUCAGCUGGCCUGUUAGUCUCCCUGUUGCCCUUUUCUCUGCAAGCUGGCUUCCAGCAAAUCGAGACUUUCUCUUUCCAGGCAUAGAGGACUCUACAGCAUUGUCAUCUGCAGAGAUGCAGGAGUCUUGCUGGUCCUCAGCUCUCAUGGAAUCAGGAGGAAGCACGAUUGUCCAGCUCCUCAAAUAAACUAGUAAUGGAGACCAAAGAGAUGGAUGCUGUUCUGUUGAAAACCAAGGACAAACAGCCAUCAAACUCCGAUCUUGCUGAUUUUCACUAACAAAAAUUUAUAAAACCCAGGCUCACUGCAUCCUCAGUUGGAGCAGAUUGAUACCUGGUGGUGCCAGCAGGUUUGCUUCAUUUUUCCCAUGUGGUGCAUGCUGGGAAGGUGCCAAGUAUCUGGAAAGCCAGCACAGCUGGAUCUGCAGGAUGGCACAGCUGGAUCUGUAGUAUGGAACAGCUGUCUGUGUAGGCAGUUGCCAUCCUCUGCACCCUGCAUCCACCUGCUGAUGCUGCUGACGGCGGUUUUGAACCCUCUCGGUCCUCGCGGAGGUGAACGGCAACCCGAUUGGAACCCAGAGCCCACCGGCUGUUGCGGGGCUGAAGAGAGCCCGUGCGUUUGGGUUCUGCCCCAGCGGAACAGUCCGGUGGUGUUUGCCGGCUGAUCCACAGUCAGAUGAGCUGCCGGGGGGCACACCUGGCUGAGCGGAGCGCUGGCUGCAAGGAAGAGCUUAUUUUCUCAGAGCUGCAGGGGACAGCAG